UUAGUACUCCUUUUGUUCGGAAUUACUUGUCUCGGAUAUGGAUGUAUUUAGAACUAAAAUAUAUUUAGAUACAUUCAUUUCUGCGACAAAUAAUUCCGAACGAAGGGAGUACUAA
Triticum urartu is the source of this 115-nucleotide non-coding RNA. NCBI's taxonomy places the organism in Eukaryota, Viridiplantae, Streptophyta, Magnoliopsida, Poales, Poaceae. The record is from Rfam.